This 392-nucleotide ribosomal RNA is filed under the name uncultured bacterium. Its description in RNAcentral is "bacterial SSU rRNA". It matches the Rfam family "Bacterial small subunit ribosomal RNA", at positions 362 to 771 of the family's 1533-position model. The record is from RNAcentral.
UAUUGCACAAUGGGGGAAACCCUGAUGCAGCAACGCCGCGUGAGUGAAGAAGUAUUUUGGUGUGUAAAGCUCUAUCAGCAGGGAAGCGAAUGACGGUACCUGACUUAGAAGCCCCGGCUAACUACGUGCUAGCAGCCGCGGUAAUACGAAGGGGGCGAGCGUUAUCCGGAUUUACUGGGUGUAAAGGGAGCGUAGACGGUUCUGCAAGUCUGAAGUGAAAGCCCGUGGGUUAACCGCGGAACGGCUUUGGAAACUGUGGAACUGGAGUGCUGGAGAGGCAAGCGGAAUUCCUAGUGUAGCGGUGAAAUGCGUAGAUAUUAGGAGGAACACCAGUGGCGAAGGCGGCUUGCUGGACAGUAACUGACGUUGAGGCUCGAAAGCGUGGGGAGCAA